UCCGAGUUGACCCCGGCAGUCUCCCAUGAGUCCCCGGCAUAACCCGCUGGCAACAUGGAACGAGGGUUGCGCUCGUUGCGGGACUUAACCCAACAUCUCACGACACGAGCUGACGACAGCCAUGCAGCACCUGUGUGAUGGUUCUCUUUCGAGCACUCCCAAAUCUCUUCAGGAUUCCAUCCAUGUCAAGGGUAGGUAAGGUUUUUCGCGUUGCAUCGAAUUAAUCCACAUCAUCCACCGCUUGUGCGGGUCCCCGUCAAUUCCUUUAUGUUUUAGUCUUGCGACCGUACUCCACAGGCGGGAUACUUAACGCGUUAGCUUCGCUACUGAAGGGGUCGAUACCUCCAACACCUAGUGAGCAUCGUUUAGGGCGUGGACUAC
Molecule: unclassified non-coding RNA, 381 nt
Filed under: uncultured bacterium
Lineage: Bacteria
Description: contains 16S-23S intergenic spacer region
Source: RNAcentral